GAGGGUAUAGCUCAGUGGUAGAGCGUUUGCUCAGCGUGCACAAGUUCCUGGGUUCAAUCCCUAGUACCUCCA
This is a transfer RNA of Camelus ferus (Wild Bactrian camel), 72 nucleotides long. It matches the Rfam family "tRNA". From Rfam's summary of the family: Transfer RNA (tRNA) molecules are approximately 80 nucleotides in length. Their secondary structure includes four short double-helical elements and three loops (D, anti-codon, and T loops). The record is from Rfam. NCBI's taxonomy places the organism in Eukaryota, Metazoa, Chordata, Mammalia, Artiodactyla, Camelidae.